This 253-nucleotide ribosomal RNA is filed under the name uncultured bacterium. Its description in RNAcentral is "partial 16S ribosomal RNA". It matches the Rfam family "Bacterial small subunit ribosomal RNA", at positions 524 to 776 of the family's 1533-position model. The record is from RNAcentral.
UACGAGGGGGGCAAGCGUUGUUCGGGAUUAUUGGGCGUAAAGGGUGCGUAGGCGGUUUUUUACGUCUUGUGUGAAAUCUUCAGGCUCAACUUGAAGACUGCACGAGAAACUGCAGGGCUUGAGUGUGGGAGAGGUGAGUGGAAUUCCUGGUGUAGCGGUGAAAUGCGCAGAUAUCAGGAGGAACACCGAUGGCGAAGGCAGUGAUCUGGGCCAGUACUGACGCUGAGGAGCGAAAGCGUGGGGAGCAAACAGG